CGACAGAAAAAUUCUUAUUUCGAAUAUCAAAUAUAAUAUGGCAUUAUGGUUAUUGGCAAAUUUUCCCACGCAUGUGGGGUAUAUUUCUUUAUAUUUACUAAUUUUUUGGAUCUAUUUUUUUUUUUUUAUAGAACCGAAAAGCCAAAAAGAUGAAUUAGUUAAGUAAUUAAUUUAUAUAUGCUGAUGGUCGAAUUCUUGACUUUAAAGACUCUCUUUAUAUAUGAUCAACUAGUAUAUAAUAUAUGAUCAACUAGUAUAUUGUAUGAGACUUUGAGUUAUCCAUAACGAAUAAUAUAAC
Molecule: long non-coding RNA, 298 nt
Filed under: Capsella rubella
Lineage: Eukaryota; Viridiplantae; Streptophyta; Magnoliopsida; Brassicales; Brassicaceae
Description: long non-coding RNA (CRUB_LNC003209)
Source: RNAcentral